Molecule: ribosomal RNA, 495 nt
Filed under: uncultured bacterium
Lineage: Bacteria
Description: partial 16S ribosomal RNA
Rfam family: Bacterial small subunit ribosomal RNA
Source: RNAcentral
GACGAACGCUGGCGGCGUGCCUAAUACAUGCAAGUAGAACGCUGAAGGAGGAGCUUGCUCUUCUGGAUGAGUUGCGAACGGGUGAGUAACGCGUAGGUAACCUGCCUGGUAGCGGGGGAUAACUAUUGGAAACGAUAGCUAAUACCGCAUAACAGUAGAUGUUGCAUGACAUUUACUUAAAAGGUGCAAUUGCAUCACUACCAGAUGGACCUGCGUUGUAUUAGCUAGUUGGUGGGGUAACGGCUCACCAAGGCGACGAUACAUAGCCGACCUGAGAGGGUGAUCGGCCACACUGGGACUGAGACACGGCCCAGACUCCUACGGGAGGCAGCAGUAGGGGAUCUUCGGCAAUGGACGGAAGUCUGACCGAGCAACGCCGCGGGGGUGAAGAAGGUUUUCGGAUCGUAAAGCUCUGUUGUAAGAGAAGAACGAGUGUGAGAGUGGAAAGUUCACACUGUGACGGUAUCUUACCAGAAAGGGACGGCUAACUACGUG